RNAcentral lists this ribosomal RNA (240 nucleotides) under Acanthodiaptomus pacificus. RNAcentral's name for it is "partial 28S rRNA". The record is from RNAcentral. Lineage: Eukaryota; Metazoa; Arthropoda; Copepoda; Calanoida; Diaptomidae.
UUGGUGGUGGGCAGCCGGCGGGCCGUGAUCAGCAAUGACUCGGCCUGUUGUGCAGGCUCGCCUCCCGGCCGCACUUUCCCCGCGGUUGACGGCAGGAACCGUUGGGACCGGACCAAAGGCCUGGGAUGAAGUUGCUUGCCCUCACGGGCUUUCAGCUCCUGGUGUCCUGGCUUCGGGCCCGACGGGUCACGAGCGGACUUGUAUAGCAAGCGACAGCCUGUUGCGGUUCGCCUCUCUCUG